Gavialis gangeticus (Gharial) is the source of this 2051-nucleotide long non-coding RNA. RefSeq lists it as uncharacterized. Lineage: Eukaryota; Metazoa; Chordata; Crocodylia; Gavialidae. The transcript has 2 exons. The record is from RefSeq and is a predicted model, not a curated record.
UGCAUUUAUGCUAUGAUUAAUGCAUUAAUCAUGGCAUAAAUGUAACGUGUAGAGGGGCCCUAAGUAACUUCCUUCAUUGCCAUAAACAGUACACAUUGGUGUCUGUGGUUCUGGGUGGUAAACAGGAUUUGUGAGCAAGUCAGAAUUUUUUUAGGUAUAGUAUCCACAGUUCAGGACUGACUGGACACAGAAGAAAGACAUGGAGGCAUCCUGUCUCUGAGUUUAGGUUACAAGGGAUAAAGACAACACUGGUGACCAUUUAGUAGCCAAAUACCCUAGAGUGCAAAUUCACAAAUCAUCCCAGUUCCACUGUGCUUCCCCACUAGUCUUCAGCACUGCAUAUCAAUAGCAAGUGUGAAUGUGGUACGCAACACAGAAAUAUGGAAUUUAAUUGCUUUGCAACUCCUGAGUUAAGUAUAAAAAAAUAGAAAAACAAUAUUAUGCUUUAUCCUGCCAUGUAUUUUCCCUAUAUACAGUACAUACGCCAGGUACAUAUCUACAACAUAUGGGCAUAAAUAUUGUGUGUGUAUGUGUGUCUGCACAUGAACUCCACAUGGAAACAAAGUUAUUUCCUACCACUCUGCAGUGCUGUCUUACUAGAAAACAAAAUAUUGCUGCUCCUGAGAGAAAGAGACUAAUAGCACAAGCUACUGGCAGAUAUAAUAGAACAGUUUUCCACACAACUCUGUCAAUGCACAUCAGUUCUGAUCUGCAACAACUGUGUCUGACCUGAGGAGACAAUCUACAGCUUCCCCAGUUGUUUCCACCCAGGGCUCCUCCUGAACAAGGCAGGCACCUGUGCUCAAUUUUGCAGUGAUUUAGGGGUGGUUUAAUGUAUGGUAGAUUUUAAAUGAACUUGAACAAGAACUUGUGGAACAAGAAAUCAUCCACAGACUAGACUGUGUUAGGUAUGGUCUAAAUCAAGAAUACAGAUUUGUGUCUCAUUACCUGGCUUAGUUUUUAUAACCCCUCAGUGGGCUGACUCCUUUUUCUCUCACCUUGCCUCUCACAGCAGUGCCCACCUCCUUUUUCCUCCCUGUUUCCCUAAUGUUCUAAUCACUGCUUUCUAUUUAGCAGCUUUGCAUACUGCAGUCCCUUCACAGCCUCUGGAGUAAGCCUGCUUAGGAAAGCCUGCUUCCAAAAGCUUAUGCUGUACAUCUCUGAUUUAGUUAGUCAUUAGGGUGCAAAUCAACCAUGCUUUCCACUAGAUUUUACCCAGGCUGUCACCUAACCUUUUUCUUGAAAUUAAUUCUAGUUGCCUAGGUGGAUAUUUGAAUUAUGAUUAUAAAAUACUAUAUUAGGUUGCAUCUUGUAUCCUAUUUAUGUCAAGAAGAAUUUUGCAGUUGACCAGUGUCAGUGGAAGAGGAUUCUUUGUUCUAUUAUUGUUGUGCCGGUCGAGUUACAACUAAGAAGGGAAUUAUAUUAUGAUGCCUUUGUGUUUAUUGGGGAUGAACACACUGAAUUAAGAAAAAGAAUAAAAAAACCCGAUCAGAACCACUACCUCUUUCUGGAACCAAAUGUAUACACAGAAAAGUGUGGACAUGCAUUUUCACUUUCAAUACUGUCUAGGAAUAUACUGAAAUAAUCUCUGAAAAAAUCGAUUUCACAGGACCUGAUGCAAACCUUGCUGAAGUCAAUGAGAAACUUUCCACUGCUGUCAGUGAAAUUUGGAUCAGGCUCUUGGAUCUUUCUGGCUGGGACUGAAAGUAGCAGCACUAUUAAACUCUUCACCUUGGAGAUGAAUCCAUCCCUAGGUUUUAUAGGCUGUUUGUGCUUCACACACAUUUUUGACUCCCUGGCUUCCAGUGCUAUCUGGCAACCUUCCAGAGCUGUCUCAAUUUUUCACCUCAAGACUUCCUCUGCUGCUUGGAUGAGCACUUUUCUGUCUGCAAGCUGCUUGGGACAUGAAGAAGUUUUAAAUUUGGGGAGCAGAAGACCUAACAUUGGGACACUGGGCUAGUUUCUGUGUGUGUGUCUUUGCCUCUUGAGGCCUUCUGUGAAUGAACAUGGAAGAAAGAGCUCAAAUAAUAUAUGUCUUUGUUUAGACUCUA